GACGAACGCUGGCGGCGUGCUUAACACAUGCAAGUCGAACGGAAAGGCCCUGCUUUUGGGGGGUGCUCGAGUGGCGAACGGGUGAGUAACACGUGGGUAACCUGCCCUUGACUUUGGGAUAACUUCAUGAAACUGGGGCUAAUACCGGCUAGGAGCUCCUGCUUCAUGGUGGGGGUUGGAAAGUUUCGGCGGUUGGGGAUGGAAUCGCGGCUUAUCAGCUUGUUGGUGGGGUAGUGGCUUAGCAAGGCUAGGACGCGUAGCCGGGCUGAGCGGGUGAGCUGACACACCGGGAUUGAGAUACGGCACAGACCAGUCCGGGAGGGAGGAGAGGAGAAGAGUGCAUUAUGGGCUGAACGAUGAUCCAGCACAGCCGUGCGCGGGAUGACGGGCAGCCCGUUGUAUAGUGAUUCCGUCUGUGACGAAGCGUUAGUGACGGUACCGGGUAAAGAAGCACCGGCUAACUACGUG
This 468-nucleotide ribosomal RNA is filed under the name uncultured bacterium. RNAcentral describes it as "partial 16S ribosomal RNA". It matches the Rfam family "Bacterial small subunit ribosomal RNA", at positions 28 to 507 of the family's 1533-position model. The record is from RNAcentral.